GCCGGCCGGAAUAGCUCAGUUGGUAGAGCAGAGGACUGAAAAUCCUCGUGUCAC
RNAcentral lists this transfer RNA (54 nucleotides) under Mnioloma fuscum. RNAcentral describes it as "partial tRNA-Phe". It matches the Rfam family "tRNA", at positions 1 to 48 of the family's 71-position model. From Rfam's summary of the family: Transfer RNA (tRNA) molecules are approximately 80 nucleotides in length. Their secondary structure includes four short double-helical elements and three loops (D, anti-codon, and T loops). The record is from RNAcentral. Lineage: Eukaryota; Viridiplantae; Streptophyta; Jungermanniopsida; Jungermanniales; Calypogeiaceae.